GCUCAAACCUGUUCCAGCAUGACAAUGCCCCUGUGCACAAAGCGAGCUCCAUGAAGACAUGGUGUGUGAAG
Non-coding RNA from Pangasianodon gigas (Mekong giant catfish), 71 nucleotides. Lineage: Eukaryota; Metazoa; Chordata; Actinopteri; Siluriformes; Pangasiidae. The record is from the annotation of a GenBank genome assembly.